UACGUAGGUGGCAAGCGUUGUCCGGAUUUACUGGGCGUAAAGAGCGCGCAGGCGGUCGGAUCAGUCGAAUGUGAAAGCCCCCGGCUCAACUGGGGAGGGUCAUUCGAUACUGCUCGACUUGAAGGCAGGAGAGGGUAGUGGAAUUCCCGGUGUAGUGGUGAAAUGCGUAGAGAUCGUAAGGAAGACCAGUGGCGAAGGCGGGUCUCUGGACAGUUCCUGACACUGAGGCACGAAGGCCAGGGGAGCAAACGGG
RNAcentral lists this ribosomal RNA (253 nucleotides) under uncultured bacterium. Its description in RNAcentral is "partial 16S ribosomal RNA". It matches the Rfam family "Bacterial small subunit ribosomal RNA", at positions 524 to 776 of the family's 1533-position model. The record is from RNAcentral.